RNAcentral lists this ribosomal RNA (440 nucleotides) under uncultured bacterium. RNAcentral's name for it is "partial 16S ribosomal RNA". It matches the Rfam family "Bacterial small subunit ribosomal RNA", at positions 338 to 795 of the family's 1533-position model. The record is from RNAcentral.
CCUACGGGAGGCAGCAGUAGGGAAUAUUGCUCAAUGGGGGAAACCCUGAAGCAGCAACGCCGCGUGGAGGAUGAAGGUUUUCGGAUUGUAAACCUCUUUUGUUAGAGAAGAAAAUUACGGUAACUAACGAUUAACGACUGGCCAACUACGUUCCAGCCGCCCCGGUAAUACGGCGGGUGCAAGCGUUACUCGGAAUCACUGGGCGUAAAGAGCGCGUAGGCGGGAUAGCAAGUCAGAUGUGAAAUCCUAUGGCUUAACCGGAGAAGUGCAUUUGAAACUGUUAUUCUAGAGUGGAGGAGAGGUAGGUGGAAUUCUUGGUGUAGCGGUGAAAUGCGUAGAUAUCAAGAGGAAUACUCAUGGCGAAGGCGACCUGCUAGAACGUAACUGACGCUGAGGCGCGAAAGCGUGGGGAGCAAACAGGAUUAGAUACCCGAGUAGUC